RNAcentral lists this ribosomal RNA (467 nucleotides) under uncultured bacterium. RNAcentral's name for it is "bacterial SSU rRNA". It matches the Rfam family "Bacterial small subunit ribosomal RNA", at positions 330 to 793 of the family's 1533-position model. The record is from RNAcentral.
CCCAGACUCCUACGGGAGGCAGCAGUGAGGAAUAUUGGUCAAUGGGCGAGGGCCUGAACCAGCCAAGUCGCGUGAAGGAUGACGGCCCUACGGGUUGUAAACUUCUUUUGUCAGGGAGCAAUUGGGUCCACGCGUGGGCUUAGCGAGAGUACCUGAAGAAAAAGCAUCGGCUAACUCCGUGCCAGCAGCCGCGGUAAUACGGAGGAUGCGAGCGUUAUCCGGAUUUAUUGGGUUUAAAGGGUGCGCAGGCGGAUUUUUAAGUCAGCGGUCAAAUCGUGGGGCUCAACCCCAUCCAGCCGUUGAAACUGGGGAUCUAGAGUGUGCGAGAGGUAUGCGGAAUGCGUGGUGUAGCGGUGAAAUGCAUAGAUAUCACGCAGAACCCCGAUUGCGAAGGCAGCAUACCGGUGCACAACUGACGCUCAGGCACGAAAGCGUGGGUAUCGAACAGGAUUAGAUACCCCAGUAAG